This 435-nucleotide ribosomal RNA is filed under the name bacterium c1cc47. RNAcentral describes it as "bacterial SSU rRNA". It matches the Rfam family "Bacterial small subunit ribosomal RNA", at positions 989 to 1424 of the family's 1533-position model. The record is from RNAcentral.
AGGCUUGCAGGGGGUGGAGACACCCCUUUCUUNGGACUGCCCUGCAAGNUGCUGCAUGGUUGUCGUCAGCUCGUGCCGUGAGGUGUCAGGUUAAGUCCUAUAACGAGCGCAACCCCUACCGUUAGUUGCCAGCGAGUCAAGUCGGGGACUCUAACGGGACUGCCGGUGCAAACCGUGAGGAAGGUGGGGACGACGUCAAAUCAUCACGGCCCUUACGUCCUGGGCUACACACGUGCUACAAUGGCCGGCACAGAGGGAAGCCACCCCGCGAGGGGGAGCGGAUCUACAAAACCGNUCACAGUUCGGAUCGGGGUCUGCAACUCGACCCCGUGAAGCUGGAAUCGCUAGUAAUCGGAUAUCAGCCAUGAUCCGGUGAAUACGUUCCCGGGCCUUGUACACACCGCCCGUCAAGCCAUGGAAGCCGGGAGUGCCUGA